AUUUAUUACAGUUGCAACAGUCAAAAAUCAGCAAGGUCUGGAAAUUACAGAAGAAUAAUUACAUAAAUGCAUUACAUUGGUAAUUACGUUACUUAUGCAGUCCAGAGCGGAAACAACUAUCAAGGGCAUAAGUAAAAUAAAUGACAAAAAAAUGUCUUGCCAUUAAUAAAGAAAUAAAUAUAUAAUAAUCUAACGGGUUGAAUAAAAUGAACAGGAAUGUCAGUUCAACCCUUCACACGAAUUGGCUAUCAGCUCUGUCCUGUAGAUCAGAGAUGGAAAUAUUGCUUUAUGCUUACAGCUUAUAACUCCUUCCCUGCAGGGCUUCGCUCAAAAGCCAACAGAACACAGAAUCAGGAUAAAACCCUCACCUCAGCAGCAGAGCACUUCAAAUCAUUAUUUUGAGUCUCCAAAAGAGGGAACAACCAGAAAGAAAAAGGUCAACAUCUGCAUCACGACGACAGCAAACCACCUGCACAAAACGGCUCCACUCAGUCAAAGGUCAAAUGUGAAGGUGUUAGUGCGGACGUUUAGGGGAAUCUGGGUUCUACCUCCGUUCCUGCUCCCAUAAGCCCUUCAAUGCUAUCGCUGGAAUAAACACCUUCGGACCGGAGCAGGUCUGGUUUGGAUGGACGAAUCUCCAGAAACAACUCACAUUUCACCCCAAAGUCGAAAUAACAAAGAAAUUAUACUUGCACAAUGGAAGUGAAGGCUAUUUUAGGACCAUUGAAGGGAUAGUUCACGCCAAAAUGAAAACUCUGUCAUUAUUUACUCACCAUCAAGAACGUUGGUAAGCAAACAGCCAUUGCCUUCCGUAGAGUGGGAAAAAAUACUGUGGAAGUCAAUGGCUACCGGCAACUGUUUGCUUAUCAAUAUUCUUCUAAAUUAGUUUGGAGCAAUAUAAGGGUGAUUAAAUGACAGAAUAUUAAUUUUAAGGGUGAACUAUCCCUUUAGGAUUAAUAAUUUAUGCAAAAUAUAAUUUUUUGUGUGGUGAAAUGUGACCCGAGCA
This is a long non-coding RNA of Sinocyclocheilus grahami, 1006 nucleotides long. RefSeq lists it as uncharacterized. Lineage: Eukaryota; Metazoa; Chordata; Actinopteri; Cypriniformes; Cyprinidae. The transcript has 2 exons. The record is from RefSeq and is a predicted model, not a curated record.